CUCAGAUUGAACGCUGGCGGCAGGCCUAACACAUGCAAGUCGAGCGGAAACGACACUAACAAUCCUUCGGGUGCGUUAUUGGGCGUCGAGCGGCGGACGGGUGAGUAAUGCCUAGGAAAUUGCCUUGAUGUGGGGGAUAACCAUUGGAAACGAUGGCUAAUACCGCAUGAUGCCUACGGGCCAAAGAGGGGGACCUUCGGGCCUCUCGCGUCAAGAUAUGCCUAGGUGGGAUUAGCUAGUUGGUGAGGUAAUGGCUCACCAAGGCGACGAUCCCUAGCUGGUCUGAGAGGAUGAUCAGCCACACUGGAACUGAGACACGGUCCAGACUCCUACGGGAGGCAGCAGUGGGGAAUAUUGCACAAUGGGCGAAAGCCUGAUGCAGCCAUGCCGCGUGUAUGAAGAAGGUCCUACGGGUUGUAAGUACUUUCAGUUGUGAGAAGGGGUAACGUAUAGCGUUAUCUCUUGACGUUAGCAACGAGAGAAGCACC
This 488-nucleotide ribosomal RNA is filed under the name uncultured bacterium. RNAcentral's name for it is "bacterial SSU rRNA". It matches the Rfam family "Bacterial small subunit ribosomal RNA", at positions 23 to 494 of the family's 1533-position model. The record is from RNAcentral.